Molecule: ribosomal RNA, 1055 nt
Filed under: uncultured bacterium
Lineage: Bacteria
Description: bacterial SSU rRNA
Rfam family: Bacterial small subunit ribosomal RNA
Source: RNAcentral
GGGUUGUAAAGCUCUUUCGUCGGGGAAGAAAAUGACUGUACCCGAAUAAGAAGGUCCGGCUAACUUCGUGCCAGCAGCCGCGGUAAUACGAAGGGACCUAGCGUAGUUCGGAAUUACUGGGCUUAAAGAGUUCGUAGGUGGUUGAAAAAGUUGGUGGUGAAAUCCCAGAGCUUAACUCUGGAACUGCCAUCAAAACUUUUCAGCUAGAGUAUGAUAGAGGAAAGCAGAAUUUCUAGUGUAGAGGUGAAAUUCGUAGAUAUUAGAAAGAAUACCAAUUGCGAAGGCAGCUUUCUGGAUCAUUACUGACACUGAGGAACGAAAGCAUGGGUAGCGAAGAGGAUUAGAUACCCUCGUAGUCCAUGCCGUAAACGAUGUGUGUUAGACGUUGGAAAUUUAUUUUCAGUGUCGCAGCGAAAGCGAUAAACACACCGCCUGGGGAGUACGACCGCAAGGUUAAAACUCAAAUGAAUUGACGGGGACCCGCACAAGUAGUGGAGCAUGUGGUUUAAUUCGAAGAUACGCGCAGAACCUUACCAACACUUGACAUGUUCGUCGCGACUCUAAGAGAUUAGAGUUUUCGGUUCGGCCGGACGAAACACAGGUGCUGCAUGGCUGUCGUCAGCUCGUGUCGUGAGAUGUUGGGUUAAGUCCCGCAACGAGCGCAACCCUCACUUUUAGUUGCCAUCAUUAAGUUGGGCACUCUGAAAGAACUGCCAGUGAUAAGCUGGAGGAAGGUGGGGAUGACGUCAAGUCCUCAUGGCCCUUACGUGUUGGGCUACACACGUGCUACAAUGGUAUCUACAACAGGAAGCAAGACUGCGAAGUUAAGCAAAUCCCUAAAAGAUACCUCAGUUCGGAUUGCACUCUGCAACUCGAGUGCAUGAAGCUGGAAUUACUAGUAAUCGUGGAUCAGCGUGCCACGGUGAAUGCGUUCCCGGGUCUUGUACACACCGCCCGUCACACCAUGGGAGUUGGUUCUACCUUAAGGCAAGGUUUCAAACCCUUGACCACGGUAUAGUCAGCGACUGGGGUGAAGUCAUAACAAGGUAGCCGUA